RNAcentral lists this small nuclear RNA (107 nucleotides) under Phascolarctos cinereus (koala). The record is from RNAcentral. Lineage: Eukaryota; Metazoa; Chordata; Mammalia; Diprotodontia; Phascolarctidae.
GUGCUUGCUUUGGGAGCACAUAUACUAAAAUUGGAGUGAUACCGAGAAGAUUAGCAUGGCCCCUGUGCAAGGAUGACAAGCAAAUUUGUGAGGCAUUCCAUAUUUUU